RNAcentral lists this unclassified non-coding RNA (267 nucleotides) under uncultured Microascales. Its description in RNAcentral is "sequence contains 5.8S rRNA gene, ITS2, 28S rRNA gene". The stretch from base 1 to 52 matches the Rfam family "5.8S ribosomal RNA", at positions 103 to 154 of the family's 154-position model. Lineage: Eukaryota; Fungi; Ascomycota; Sordariomycetes; Microascales. The record is from RNAcentral.
AACGCACAUUGCGCCCGGUGGUAAUCCGCCGGGCAUGCCUGUUCGAGCGUCAUUUCUCCCCUCAGGCUUCGCCGCUCUCGGGCGGCUGGGGUUCUGGUUUUGGGGCAUGCGGCUCUCUGCGCUGCAGCUCCCAAUUGUAUCGGCGUACGCGGCGUGCCGCCCCUUGCGUAGUGGUUUAACUCUCGCACCGGGCCGCGCCGUCGUGCCGCCGCGACACCCCUUUUGAAGUUUGACCUCGAAUCAGGUAGGGUUACCCGCUGAACUUAA